This 255-nucleotide ribosomal RNA is filed under the name uncultured prokaryote. RNAcentral describes it as "partial 16S ribosomal RNA". It matches the Rfam family "Bacterial small subunit ribosomal RNA", at positions 524 to 777 of the family's 1533-position model. The record is from RNAcentral.
UACGGGGGGAGCAAGCGUUGUUCGGAUUUACUGGGCGUAAAGGGCGCGUAGGCGGCCAGCGCAAGUCAGUUGUGAAAUCUCCGGGCUUAACUCGGAAAGGUCAACUGAUACUGCGGGGCUAGAGUGCGGAAGGGGCAACUGGAAUUCUCGGUGUAGCGGUGAAAUGCGUAGAUAUCGAGAGGAACACCUGCGGCGAAGGCGGGUUGCUGGGCCGACACUGACGCUGAGGAGCGAAAGCGUGGGGAGCAAACAGGA